GCGGCAACAGCUCAAAUUUGAAAGCUAGCCUUCGGGUUCGCAUUGUAAUUUGUAGAGGAUGCUUUGGGUAAAACGCCAGUCUAAGUUCCUUGGAACAGGACGUCAUAGAGGGUGAGAAUCCCGUAUGUGACUGGAAAUGUUAACCUAUGUAAAGCUCCUUCGACGAGUCGAGUUGUUUGGGAAUGCAGCUCUAAAUGGGAGGUAAAUUUCUUCUAAAGCUAAAUAUUGGCGAGAGACCGAUAGCGCACAAGUAGAGUGAUCGAAAGAUGAAAAGCACUUUGGAAAGAGAGUUAAAAAGCACGUGAAAUUGUUGAAAGGGAAGCGCUUGCAAUCAGACUUGUUUAAACUGUUCGGCCGGUCUUCUGACCGGUUUACUCAGUUUGGACAGGCCAGCAUCAGUUUCGGCGGCCGGAUAAAGGCUCUGGGAAUGUGGCCUCCACUUCGGUGGAGGUGUUAUAGCCCAGUGUGUAAUACGGCCAGCCGGGACUGAGGUCCGCGCUUCGGCUAGGAUGCUGGCGUAAUGGUUGUAAGCGACCCGUC
Molecule: ribosomal RNA, 540 nt
Filed under: Aureobasidium pullulans
Lineage: Eukaryota; Fungi; Ascomycota; Dothideomycetes; Dothideales; Saccotheciaceae
Description: eukaryotic LSU rRNA
Rfam family: Eukaryotic large subunit ribosomal RNA
Source: RNAcentral